CCUACAGCUCUCCACCGAGUUAUGUAAAUUUGAUGCUCCUGUUUCGUCCGAGGAUAUUAAACAUUCACAUUCGAAGCUCAAAGUGGGUCACAUGAGUGGAAGAGAGGAUGAACGGCUCCAAGUGAACGAUGUGAAGCCGCCUUAUGGACGUACAACGUAAUUCUGGAAAUAAAAGGAACUUUGUGAAUGAAUAAUGGAGGGAGAUAAAAUGAGCGUUGGUUUUAUUCUCAAGGACGAAGAUAAAUCAGGAAUCCCAUCCAUGAAGGAACUGGUGAAAUGCCAUGUCACAUCUGAUAACGUCUCAACCGUUUGCUGCUGAAGACUUCAAAGUGGGAUCUGCAGGAUAUCACAUCCAGACGCUCCUAAUGACCCUGAACUUGGAAGCCUUUUCUCUCUGGUUUUGACAGAGAGGCUACAGAAAAAUGGACCGCAGCAGCCAUAAAAGAUGACUGAUGCAACGGAGGUCUUUGGCUGUGAAACCGGAGUAAACGACUCGUAGGCAAGUCAGACUUUAUUCACCACCGUACAUAUGAAAGAUAUCAGCAAAGGUUGUCUUUAAAGUCCAUCCAUUUCCCAGCAUGCACUGGUUUGAACAGCAAGACCUACAUGUCUUCACCUGAAUGGAAACGUCUCUGAGCAGCUUGUUGAAGGAGGCUGACUGCUGCUCCUGAAGGGCUUUGUGAGCUCCAACCCGAUACACCGACGAGCUCCCUCUUAAUGGCUCCUUCCACCUGCUUAGGGGAGAUAAAGGCAUCACCUUCAAUAUCUCAUGCGCCUCCAGCGGUCUGUGCUGAGCUUUAAUGGAAGCUGACAGGACGAGUUCCCUGAACGCAGCAUCUGGACUCUCAAAGACCGAGUGUCUUUGGUCUGAAGAGAAGAAGAGUGAAGGCUGAAUUCUACUUUACCGCUUCACAUCGCAAGUGUUUGUUUGAAAUGUCGAAGAAAAACAACACCGAACCUAAAGUGUCCAUGGAAAAUAAAGCUAGAUGGUAGAACAUGUUUAUCAGGAGUCUUUUUCUCUUCCUUAAACUGGUUGAUUUGAGGUGUUUUUUUAAGCACUUAACCUUCUGAAUUUAGUCAAAUUUUACUUUACUGUGGGCUCAUUUUACUUUGACAUAUAAAGUCCUGUUGUUGGUUAUUUAAAUGUAACAUGUAGAUUUUAGUGAUAUCGAUAAAAUAUCAUAAUUUUAAAUUGUGAUUUGGUUAAUUUUCCCAACAGAAAACUGCACGUCAGAAAUAAUAAGCUCAAGGAUUGUCAACAGCUUGAAAAUCCAGCAAAUCUUUCUGUUUUUAUUCUGCUAUAGAUAAUUGGCUUCUUACAUUUUUAAUUUGUUUUCUGCUUCUUUCUGCUCUGUGUAACACUGCCUGCAGUUCAUCCAAACAAAAAGAGGAAUUUUGCUACAUGACUGUUGUUUGCUAACAGCCUCAGUGUUGCACCAACAUACACUGAAUUUUAGUUAUUUUUUUGUUAGUUUGUUUGUUUUUACAGAAGGUGGUUAGAAAUGAUAUAUUUUUGGCAAAACUUUUAAUUGAGACAUGCUAAAUAAUCUGAUUUUGAUUAAAUAUCUCAAUAUUAAGCUUUGGUUAAGUUUUCUGAGAGGAGUAGUUCAAGGAAAGUUGAAAAUCAGAUUUUUCUUUUAGUUUUUUUUCAUUUCUGGCUCUGAAAAAUGGUAUAAUUUUGGCAUGUUUUGUAAAGUCAAACCAUCAGCAUGUUUUGAGGCUCAGAGGAUUAAUAUACUGUACAAAACUAUGAAAAUGGUCGGCUCAUGGUGGAACUAAAAUUAGCAGAAUUUAUCCACUGGGGACCAUGAAUAUCUGCAACAACAACAAAAAUGUACCAAACCAAUUAUUAGAUGUUGAAACUUCACUGAAAACUUUGCUGUCAUUUUAGAUCUAGAUCUGGAAAGUCAGAAGUCGUCAAAAUGAUCGGAAUUCAUCCUCUGGGAACCACAAAUGCCUGUAUAAAAAAAAUAAUGGUUAUCUCUUGAAAUUUUACGAAACACAAACUCAGAUGUAAACCAUUUGGUUAAUCAUCCGAUCAGUGCAUUUUCAGGUUAAACCACUGCUUGUAGCUUAGCAAAAUGCUGGAUAAAUGUGAUUGUUUUCUCUAUUACAAUAAACUAGAGUUUACCAAAGACUA
Molecule: long non-coding RNA, 2140 nt
Organism: Acanthochromis polyacanthus (spiny chromis)
Lineage: Eukaryota; Metazoa; Chordata; Actinopteri; Pomacentridae
Exons: 2
Source: RefSeq, a predicted model, not a curated record